UACGGGAGGCAGCAGGGAGGAAUAUUGGUCAAUGGGUGCAAGCCUGAACCAGCCAUCCCGCGUGAAGGACGACUGCCCUAUGGGUUGUAAACUUCUUUUGUAUAGGGAUAAACCUACCCUCGUGAGGGUAGCUGAAGGUACUAUACGAAUAAGCACCGGCUAACUCCGUGCCAGCAGCCGCGGUAAUACGGAGGGUGCAAGCGUUAUCCGGAUUUAUUGGGUUUAAAGGGUCCGUAGGCGGACUUAUAAGUCAGUGGUGAAAGCCUGUCGCUUAACGAUAGAACUGCCAUUGAUACUGUAAGUCUUGAGUAUAUUUUGAGGUAGCUGGAAUAAGUAGUGUAGCGGUGAAAUGCAUAGAUAUUACUUAGAACACCAAUUGCGAAAGGCAGGUUACCAAGAUAUAAACUGACGCUGAGGGGACGAAAGCGUGGGGAGCGAACAGGGAUUAGAUACC
RNAcentral lists this ribosomal RNA (454 nucleotides) under uncultured bacterium. Its description in RNAcentral is "bacterial SSU rRNA". It matches the Rfam family "Bacterial small subunit ribosomal RNA", at positions 340 to 786 of the family's 1533-position model. The record is from RNAcentral.